Molecule: long non-coding RNA, 2832 nt
Organism: Chinchilla lanigera (long-tailed chinchilla)
Lineage: Eukaryota; Metazoa; Chordata; Mammalia; Rodentia; Chinchillidae
Exons: 5
Source: RefSeq, a predicted model, not a curated record
CUGAACCUCUUGGAGCAAUUCUCUAAAGCUUUCAGAAGAGACACAGGGUCCACGCCUAGUCCCUAAGAAUUGUAAAGGUGUGGGAUAAGCAGCGCCCUACUUCUUCCAAGAUGUCUUUUUGCUUUCAAUCUUUGAGCAAGGGAAGCAGUACCCGUAGCAAAGCACAGGAAGAUCUGAACCCCAAAAAAUUCAAAUAAAAGCUGAAGAAGAAGCCAGUAAAGACUUGGGACAGGACCCCUCACACCUCCAAGCAGGGGCCGCAGCUGAGGGCUGCGGGAACGCGGGCGGAGUUUGCAGCGCUGCUCCCCCAGCCCGCUGGUCACUGGAAAUGCUUGGUAAUGCACAGAGACACACAGUUGUUACAAGUUAAUCAAAAAGUGAAGGGUGUUUAAGGAGAGAGGAACGCUCUGAUCUGGACACACCGUCCGCAGAAAUCAGUCUCUCACAAGAAGAAGGAGGAGGGGGCAGCAGCCGAGGAGGAGGACAUGCUGAGAACCUGCUGCCAUCAGUGUGGAAACCGCUCACGGGCCUUUGGAAUCUGAAGAGGGAAGAGGAGCCCUCCGCUUUGUGCUUUGACCCUCACGUCCAGGCUGCUUCAGGGAAGGCGCCAGAGUGCUGGGCCUGCGCAGCAUUUCCUGCGACACUUACGCUUCUGGUGACCGAGAGUCCUCUGAUGCAGGGACAGCGGGGGGCUUCUUACCUAGGACCCAGUGGUCACCAAAGCCAGACCCGGGGAUUUUGCCGCCCUGCUCCAGAGCACGGACGAGCCUGCGUUAUUCCGUGGGAGCUGCCGCCUCUCAGAUGUUUCUGCUGUUCGGAUUCCCCUGCUUUCGGUACAGAAGCCCUGCGCCUUCCCGCUGGCUUGGGACACUGCCUGGGCCUGCCCUGGCCCGGUCCUUAACCGGCCUUGGUCUACACCUCACUGCCACCAAGCAGUGCCCUCACCCAGGUCCCUGGGCGCUCACUCCGCCUGCCAGCGAAUGUCCCUGCUGCUGGUCUGGUCGGGUGAGGACGAGAUCAGGGUUCAAAAGAUAAAAGGCCCCAGCUUUUGUUUUUAAGUCUGUAUUGCACGGCGUGGAGUGGCCCGGAUGACAAAAUGACACGGUGAGGUCCCAUCCUCUGCUGCCCUAAGAGAGAGGAGGAGCUCAGAGGAGACCGGGAGGCCUGCGGGUCCGGGGCGCGGGGGCCCUGUCAGGUCCUGCAGCCUCCUUGAUGCACUUUAAAAGAAUCUCUAGAGGGGAGAGAGUUUGAAAGGCAGGUAAGUGACAGCCUGGUGAGCCCUGUUUCCGGUUCGUCCCUCUCUGUCAUGCAAAUCACUUAAAUUCUUCCUUGGAUCAUCCCCCGGGAAUGAGCCGCGGAGUCUGACGGAUACUCCUUUAGGCGAUCGGGAGAAAGGCCUUUCUGUCCGGGCCCACGUUGCCUCUGUGGCCAGCAGGAGGCGCUGUUGCUCUUCGUAUCUCACAGGCUGCCGCAAGCCCCGCGAGGGUGUGUGACUCAGUUACUGCCCUUGUCGCUCGCUCGUUCACACUGACGUUUUGCGAAGGACAACGUGACACCCUGCUUGGUGAGCAACCGUGCACUGUCAUCUUGCGAAGCGUUGGGGAAACUGUCCAACUUUAGAAGUCAAAAGCAAAAUACAUCGACGGAGGCUCCAGAACAGUUGAUGCCCUCUGCCUGCUCUUUGCAAAUUCGAGCUCUUUUCUAAUUAAGAAGAAAGUAAUCAACUCUGCAGGUCCCCCUGGUUCAGCUGGUCCUCCUCUUAAGUCUUUGUCUUCUGCUUAGAAACCUCCUCUUUCUGUCUUCCUGUCAUGGGAGCGGUGGCCCACAAAGGUUUUAAAGUAGGCAUCGCACACACUGAGACAGCAGCGCUGCCGGAACUGUGAACUUCUAACCUUUUCAUUCAUCCCUGCCUCAUUUAAUCCAUAUUUUAAAAGAAAAGAAGCCACAGAAUGUAAACAGGCACCGACUGGCCUGACAUAGCCCGGGAAGAUCUGGCUGAAGAUUUUUCUAGGAGUUGAUCCAAGAACAUUUUUCUUUCUGCCCUUUAAUCUGUGGAAAGAGACACAAGCUACGGUGGCUGCCCGGAAGGCACAGAUGCCAGCACGGAAAUGCCUGCAGCACCCCGUGGGGCAGAGGCAGCUGGCACCCGGGGGAAGGAGAGUGGCUCGGGCGGGAGCAGGAGCUUCCUGUCCGCCGCCCGACCUUUCCGCUUGCUUUUCUUGCAAGUGGAUUCUGUUUCCUUUGAGCUGUGUGGGAUGGAGCUGAGGGAGGGAGGCUGAGGCACCUCGAUGAGGGUCGGUGAGCAGGGCCAGCGGUUUGCGUCCUCUGUCCCACCGAGCACCCAUCCCUUCUGCAGCGCCCCUAGUGGGAAGCUCCACAUCCUUUCUGUCCUUGUUCUAGGGUGGCUCCAGAGGAGAGGAAAUGAGAGUGAGAUGAUUUCGUGUCAGUGUCUGAGGUUGCUGGAGGCUCCAGAACCAAACUGGGGGGCAGGAAGUGAGGAUCAGAGGCCCCCAACCCCCUCUGCUAGAGACCAAUCAGAGCGCACACGCCUGUGUGUCAUGGCUGGAUGCUUUCAGAGCGAGCGGACUGCUUGCAGCGUUUCGUUUCUUUGAAGGAGCGGGGACAGGAGGCGAGAGGGACUUGCAGGGACCGACGGGAACCAGAGAGAAGGGGCCCGGGACAAUGAGGGUGAAAAGAAUCAGAAUCUGUCCAUGUGUACCCGGGGUACCCGACGCACCUUGUUAGUCUGGGGUGCUAAUAUGCACCAAUAAAAAAAGAGUUUCACAGGGGCUGGGGAUUUAGCUCAGUGGCAAAGUGCCUGCCUGGCAAGCG